CCUUCGAGCUUCUACGCUCUUCUUCCUCUCACUCGCGAAUGAACGGCGCGGCGGUGAUCGGAAAGCUCCCUCACCUCCGAGCAAGAUCUUCAAUCGCAAUCGGAGAAACGGUGUUUUCGCUCAGCUCACUUCUCAACUCUCGUUCCAAACCUCUCCGUCUCUCUCGCGGGUUCUCUCACUCUUCGCUCCGCCCUCGCCUCUCUCCGAUUCAAUCCUUUGCUCUGUUCUUGAGGAUUCUUGUUGUAUCAAAGGUUAUGGCAGUGAAACAAAUUGUUAUGUGAAGCGAAGAUUGAUACGAUGCGUAUUAUUGUUGAGGACGUAUGAAGAUGCAUCGGAGAUUGACGCAGAACGUUGAACUGUCGCGUGGGAAUUCUACAGUGAAGAUGAAGAUUCGUUCUGGUGAUGAUUCUUGUGACGUUGAUGAUUUUCUGAGGAGAUUCUGAAAGAACUCGAGAGAGUGAAGAAUCACGAUAAAGUUUGUUACAUUAUGAGAGUUGAUGAAGAUGAUGAUUUGUAGCGAAGAUUGAAGGGUACGAUGGUGAAGAUGAUUGAAGAAGAGAGAGAGUGAGAAUGGUGCGUCUUGAUUGUGGGCGUGUGAAGGAAGAGAAUGGCGUGUGGAAGAGGUGAAGGAUAACGAUGAGUGAGAGCCUGAAAAUGUGAGAAGAGGCUCUGCUAUAUAGAGUUUGAAAAAAGGUUUCAGGUUAGUUCUCACUCUCUUCUGCUUUUUUCUGUUACAGUCUGUUAGUGAUGGUUGGAAAGUUGUUAUGAAAACCUGUUGGAGUUAGUUACAGUUGGGGAUUCUGUUAUGGUUAGUUGGAGUGAGUUUGGACAGUUAGUUAUGAUUAGAAUUUAGGAUAUUUGCUGAGCUGGAUUUGAUAGGUUGGUUAAGUGAAUGUAUGUAAUGAAGUUGUGUGGGGAACUGGGACUGAAUAUACGACUGCAGUGUAGGUUUAUUCUGGGUUUGUGAUAGGAUGCUCGACUGUAUUUAAUGUGUAUGCAUGGUUCAAUUUGCAACAACCGGUUUGUGUGGUGUGGAUAUUACAAGUCUGAGUCGGUUCAGCUGCUCUGGUUUUAUGCAGGUUCUGUUAAAUUGGUUUGGACACGAGGACAUGAAUGGAAACAAUGGUUAUGGGCAGAAAUCAUGGACGAUGAUGAAGAUUAGGUUGAGAGUUUAGGGAAUAGUGUUGAGUCUAGGCCCAAGUCAGGGUCUCUGGUCAACAAUUGACCAGAAUGUCAACUGUUACCUUUUGUGUAAUUCUCAAUGAUUCCAAUUCUGAAUUUUUGUAAUGAUUUCUUUUCCUUGUAAGAUUCUUUUUUGUUAUAAACUUUGGGGGUUAUGUCUUGUUUUACAAAAUGGAUGUUCUUCAUGUAAUGAUACAGUGAGUGAUGUAAUGUGAUGAAUGCUACUGUUGGUCCCCGUUUUUUCUUUAAUAAUUCAGUUUGUUGUAUGGUUUUCUUUGUAACGGUAUGGAUGUAUCAAAUAUGUAUUAAACACGGGAAUGGGGUAAUGGAUGGAUGUUGUAAUGAAGUUCCUUUCUCUCUAAUGAAUGUAACUCUUAUUCUCUUC
Long non-coding RNA from Vicia villosa (hairy vetch), 1567 nucleotides. RefSeq lists it as uncharacterized. The record is from RefSeq and is a predicted model, not a curated record. The transcript has 3 exons. Lineage: Eukaryota; Viridiplantae; Streptophyta; Magnoliopsida; Fabales; Fabaceae.